This 858-nucleotide long non-coding RNA is filed under the name Elaeis guineensis (African oil palm). RNAcentral's name for it is "long non-coding RNA (EGUI_LNC010457)". Lineage: Eukaryota; Viridiplantae; Streptophyta; Magnoliopsida; Arecales; Arecaceae. The record is from RNAcentral.
CCAUAUCAUGUGGUUCUAGAGUGAUAUGUUGCUUCCACAUAAAUAUAAAGAACUAGAAUUAUGUGUAGGCAAAUACGAUUUAGGAAUUUUAUCAAACCAUCACCAAAACUAUUUUAAGAGACAAACAAGCAAUUACAUUUGAAGUGCACAGUAAAAUAUUAAUCAUGUUUCCAGUUCUCUAAUUCCAAAGUUGUGAUCUCACAUUUAUAUCCAUCUGCCACUCUUGUAUCACCUAAUUCUGAGCCAUCUGGAUUCUUGCUUUAGAAGAAGGCUAUUACACAUCGUUUUGGACAUUCAAAAUCUACCGAUUAAUUACAUAAUUCAUUGGCAUGUAAGGCCCAAGCAUGUUGAGCUUAUAGCUGGUCCCGUACUAUAAUGAUACAACCGACGUCCAAACGUAUAUUUCCACACCCUUCUAGCUAUUAAAGUAUAACAUAGAGAUCAAUUAUUUGUCACCGCUGCCAUUCCCUUGGUUACUUCCAUCACCUCCUGCUGAGCCACGACUAUUGUAAUCAUUUCUAGGUAUGUUAUGAUGGUUAUCAAUCGUGCUCCCUGAGUACUCAAGAGUGCUUUUUGCCUUGGCAAUCUCUUCUCCAUGGGUUUGAUCCGUAAGGACUAUGUCACGCAGGGCUGAAGUUUUGGUCAUCAUGGUCAUAAUAAGAAGAAGAAGAGCUAUUAACUUCAUCUGUGAUUCAGUUGCUGUUUGCAAUAGUCAAUAUACACAAUUUAGCAACAAUAAACAUGUAAAUCAGUUCUAUUUAGAAGUGUAGUCAACAGAAACAAAUCAAAGAUGAAGAAAAAGAUAAAUAUAUAAGAACUACCCACCUAGAAAAAGCUUUGCAGAUUUCGAGGGCCGCU